GAUGAACGCUGGCGGCGUGCCUAAUACAUGCAAGUCGAGCGAACAGACGAGGAGCUUGCUCCUCUGACGUUAGCGGCGGACGGGAGAGUAACACGUGGAUAACCUACCUAUACGACUGGGAUAAAUUCGGGAAACCGGAGCUAAUACCGGAUAAUAUAUUGAACCGCAUUGUUCAAUAGUUAAAGACGGUUUUGCUGUCACUUAUAGAUGGAUCCGCGCAGCAUUAGCUAGUUGGUAAGGUAACGGCUUACCAAGGCAACGAUGCGUAGCCGACCUGAGAGGGUGAUCGGCCACACUGGAACUGAGACACGGUCCAGACUCCUACGGGAGGCAGCAGUAGGGAAUCUUCCGCGAUGGACGAAAGCUUGACGGAGCAACGCCGCGUGAGUGAUGAAGGUCUUCGGAUCGUAAAACUCUGUUAUUAGGGAAGAACAAAUGUGUAAGUAACUAUGCACGUCUUGACGGUACCUAAUCAGAAAGCCACGGCUAACUACGUG
RNAcentral lists this ribosomal RNA (497 nucleotides) under uncultured bacterium. RNAcentral describes it as "partial 16S ribosomal RNA". It matches the Rfam family "Bacterial small subunit ribosomal RNA", at positions 28 to 507 of the family's 1533-position model. The record is from RNAcentral.